ACAUUCAGAAAAAAUACCAAAACCCUAAAACCCAACUCUUUCUAGCCACUAAAAAAGGGGGGCCGGCGGCGCCUCCCUCCUGGUUUUAAAUUUUUUUUCCUAGUGUUCUUCUCUUGAAAACCAGCCGCCGGCCCCCACGUUGAAUUCUUUUUUUUCUCCUUCUCAGCCGACCUCAUCUUCUCCUGUAGCCUCUCCAUCCUCCCCCGGCCAUUUUUUUUUUCUUUCCUCUUCCUCACAAAGAACCGGCCAAACAGCCCCUCCACCAUUUGAUUUUUCAGUUUUCUCUUCUUCCACCCGAACCAGCCUCCCUUCCCCAUCGUUCCUCCAUAUCACUUUCUUCUUCCCUCACCACUGAGCCCAUCCGUGACUGGCGAUCCACACCUUCUUCUUCCUCAUCGAUCUGUCCCCUCCAGCCCACAGACCAGUGGCUAGACCGGCGUCCAUCGAGCCCCAAGCAUCCAGCAGAAGCGUCUCCUUCGUCAUCAGUAACGGCUGCUCCUCCUUCGGUCUCCAUCUUUCCCGAUCUCUCACAGCCUACCCGGCUGAUCCAUCAACGCCGAAGCCUCUCCCUCAGCAACCUCUUCUUCGACGGUUCCUUCAACAACCGGUUCUCCUCCAACUCCAACCCGUGUAGCAGAUCCGGACCGAGAUCCAGCCACCACCAGCGCCGACGGUGCCCAACAACCCGAUGUGCUGCAGGGAUGAAAUCUCGGGCAACGAACCGUGAUCAACCCGAAAGAAGCGAUCUGAAAUGAAGAGGAAGGAGCAGAUCGGAGAAGAAAUAAAGAACAAAAAAAUCAAUCCGAAAAAAUAAAAAACAGACAAAGAAAUAAAGCUUAAAAUCGACUGUUUGUGCGUUUGUUUUUUUGUUAUAGAUGAUGUGUUCUUACCGCUGCGGGGAGGAAAGGAGGAAGAAGCAGAAUCCGACCAGCGUUUUUUUUCCGGCGUUCUCUCGCGGCGGCGUGAACCCACGCGCCGCCGCUGUCCAAGCACUGUUCACGCACCUAGCAGCUGUCCCAGCACUGUUCAGGCAGACCCAGAAGGCUUUAGAUUUGUGUUUUUUUAAUUUUAGGGUUGUUUAAUUUGAGUUGUUGAGUAAUUUUAUGUAAUAUUGAAUUUUGUAUUUGUAUUUGUAUGAUGGAUGUAAUAAAAAAAAAAGAACAAAAAAAAAAAAGAAAAGAAAAGAAGAAAAGAAAAUAAUAAUAAAAAAGGGAUGUGUGUUGGUGUAUUUUAUUUAUUUAUUUUGAAUUUGAUUUGUAUUUUUGUGGAUGUAAAAGAAAAGAAAAGAAAAGAAAAAAAUAGUGAAUGUGUGUGUGUAUUGUUUUAUUUAUUUGUAAUAUUAUUUAAGAUAAAAUUGCAAUAUAUUAAAGAAGAAUUUAAUAUUUUGAUCGGAUCACGGUUAAGAAUUAUUAACUUAUACGUAAGUGAUAUUUCUAAUUUCCGAAGAAAAGACAAUUUUAAAACUUCUUUAACACGUCAAAGCCACGAAGCAGCUUACCUCAGGUAGGGUGCGUUAGGGGUGCUAAUACCUUCCCUAACCACAACCAGUCCCUUACCCGCGAAUCUCUGACAAGACCAGUACAUCCGGUUUCCUAGUAGCCCCAAAAAUUACUAGGUGGCGACUCCAACGAACCAAAUUCAAGCAACGAACACAACGAGAUUUAAAUCGCCAGCCGAUGCCGCGCGCUGAUUUUUUUUGGGGUGCGACAGAAUGGCGACUCCACUGGGGAAGGUAUUUUUUCGAUUAUUGGACUAAGCUUUGUGUAUUUGAUGUGUUUAAGUUUUGCAUUUUUAUCUUUUUUUAAUAUUUAUUUCCAUGCAUUUUAUAGAAUUGUCUCAUGCAUCACCUGUAUUUAUUUUUAAAAGCACACACAAGCUUCUAGGUUAGGUGGGGAACUAGCGAUCUGCCCUAAGACUAUUGGUCAGGGUUCAGAUGCGUGAAACACCCAACUCAUAUCUGAGUGCCUGCUUGGUAAUGGUGGGAUACGUACCUUAACCAUUCCUUGCAACGCCCCCAAACUGUCUUUACGAAGAACGUCACUGGGCAGAUAUGAGACCCUUUUGAGACCAGAUAGAAAACUUACCCAUGUUCACAUAAUGAAUAGAACCUGUCCUUAGGUUGUAUGUGCUAUCGUUUUUUGCAUAAGGGCAAACCCUUCUUGAAGCAUCUUGAACUCAAGACUUGUGGGUGACACAUUGGCCGUUGCUCCGAAAAUUUUCAUUGUAGAGUUUGGGCAAAAAUCACGAUUCUUGUCCAUCAUACAAGAGUUACGACCAUAUUGUCACCUCUCGAAGGGAGAGUUCAUCAUAUAGAUUACAUGUUCAUACAUUUAUCAUGCAUGAACCGGGUCGAAACGUAGGUCCCUUGUACAAGUUGUGCUGCACGAGAUUGAAGAAAAAUAAUGGAAGUGAACAAAGGAGUCAGAUAUAGGUUCAGUAUCAGAUUAAGGUUGAGAGCAUCAAGAGUGAAGUAGCGGGACUCAGAUCUGCUCGAACAAGUGUUGAGCAUCAAAUGAAAAGAGAAUGUCUGCACAGUUUUCUGUGGGAACACUGCUUGUUCACGUCCAAUUGAAGCUGUACCUUUCCUUUUCAGUCAUGAACAACAGCAACAACGCCUUCAGUCAUCAACUAAUGACAACUCUGAUUCCUGUCCAGUUGCGCUGUUAAGUAUUCAUCGCCUCCACAUCAUCUAAUGGAACCAAACGACUACUAACCUCCUGUUCAUGGUGCAUUAGUCUGCUUUGAAGUUACCCCAAUUAUGAGCUCAAUUCCAGUUCAGCAGCACAAGAUGUUGGUCUGAAAAAAAAAAAACCAUGAUCAGACACUGAAUUUCAACGCGGUAGAGCUCUCUCUGUAGAGAUUUAUUUGUGGAUCUGUCAAUGGCAAAUGCAAAAGGGAAUGUAUUAAUUUCAUAUGCUUUGAAACUUUUUCCCACCAGUGGCACCAGCAAAACAUUGUAGUAGGCAGAAGAGUCAGACCUGGUCUGAUAAUAUUAGCAGUUGUCAAACUUCAAUGUGGCAGAGCUCUCUCUACAAAAAUCCAUUUAUGGCUCUGCAAAUUGGGAAUGCAAGAGGGGAUUUACUAAUUGCAUAUGCUACAAAUAUUUCUCUCAUCAGUUUCAGCACGAAGAAACUAUAGCAGGUUGAAGAGCCAGACUUGGCUUGAAAAAUAUGAGCAGACAUCAAACUUCAACAUAGCAGAGCUCUCCCGACAGGAAUCUGUUUGUGGAUCCGCAAGAGGGAAAUCCAAGAAGGAAUACAGUAGUUUCAGAUCAUUUAUGAUUUUUCUCCAACAGUGUCAGUAUUAAAAUGCAAAAGUAGAGAGAAGAUACAUGCCUAGACUGAAAAACAUGAAGAAUACUGAAACUUCAACAGAGCAGGACUUCCUCUAUAGGUGUUUGUUUGCUGCACUGUCAGUGAGAAAUGGAAGAGGGGACAAAAGUUUUAGAUUCAUCAGGUGCUCUUCCAAUAAAGACAAUGUGUGAUUCCACACGUCGGUAGUGGCGAUACUACAAGUUUCUGGGCGCUGCCAAGAUUACCAAGCUGUUAGAAAGUUUUCUAACAAUCCUCAACCAACCAUAGCAACAUUGGAAGAUUGAAAUAAUGCUGUGAGGAUUUGCCGAAGAAUUGAACAAGCUAUGAAGAGAAGAAAGAUUGAAGGAUCUGCCAUGGAUUCUAGAACAAUGAUGAGAGGUGAAUCAGGAGAUGACUUUGAUGGUGUGAGCCCUUAAUUAUGUGGUAUAGCCAGGUCUCACGGUAGCAUCAAUUGCUCAAAUGUCUUUGCCAAGAUGGGACAUUCCCCUGCCACUUAAGUUUGUCGACCAGCAUCUGCCAGAUUCCAGAAUUUUGCUUGACUCCGACAAAUCCCAUGCAACCACCAAAUUCUAGGUGGUAUAAUCCAGAUAAGAGAUGUGAUGUCAUGGUGGGGUCCUCAACCAUUUCAAGUGAACAGUUUCAAGAAUUGCAAGAAUGGAGUCUGAAAGUUGGUGAGCAAGAGACAGAUGGAGUCGUUGAUGAAGGGUGUCAUUGGCUAUAUUGUCCCUCGAACAUCAUCAAAAUGACAUGUGAUCGAAAGUGCUUGGCCGAACACAGAUGUUGCCAGAAAAGCUGAUUCAAGUAUGGUGAUGAACAGUCAAUCAUAUUGUUAUGGAUUUCGGCAUUUUGUUUUGGGAUCACAUCUCAUCCUUCAACGAAACAUGUCUUGCUUUUGUCUCUUUGUUGUUUUGAAAUCAACAGAUGUUUAGCAUUUUUUCUGACAAAAUAUUUUGAACAAACUCCAACAUGCGAUAAAGGUUAAUCAAUCCGGAAGAUUAGAAGUGUUUUGAUUACAGAAAUGACUCUAUGCUUGAAAAUGACAUGAGGUGACCAAACAAUUUUGAACUCAUACCUUUUGAAACUGAACCACACAUCAUAUAGCUAAGUUUUAGCAGUAUGCAUAAUGACAUGUAGUGGAUUCGGUAGUUAUGGACUCGUGAAUCAUGAUUCUUACAAGUCCCAAUCAUUACACUAGAUGAGGUCAAAAUUUAUCGGUUCUAACCGACCUUGCUUGAUGUCGCACAUCAAAAAUCCACGCGACAUCGGCUGGCGAAAAUUUUUUAUUUGUAUUUUGCUUGGUUCGUUGGAGUCGCCACCUAGUAUUAUGGUCACUUGGAACCUAAGGUCUGCAAGAGUCUGAAUAAGGGACUGGUUGUGCAAGGGGAAGACGCAUCACCCCCAAUGCACCCUACCUAAGGCAAGCUGCAUUAUUGUUUGAUUGCUUUUCUAGGUCAAGUUUCUAUUCGCUGGUCUUUUCUAAGGUUCAAGGCAGAUCUCCCCUCGUGAGGGAGUCUCUACCUUAUUCGGUAGAAUCCUAACCAUUCUAAAGUCUGAAUUUUAAAAUUGCUUUCACUUAUACCUUGUAUCUUUAAUACCCGCAGAUGUACAUUAUCGUGUAAUUUUACACCCCACAAAUAUUAAAGUUUAUAUCUGGAUCCUAAAAAAUAAAAAAAGGGUUUUUGACAUUUUGACCAAACCUUAAUGGAUAAUCAUAAACAUUUUAUGAUAUCCAUUUUUUUUUGGAUUUUUAAAACGUGAGAAACAUGCAAUUUGUUUUGAAAAAAACAUGCUUGGAAAAUUUUUAAGGCUUGGCCGUAUGCAAUAAAAUAUUUUUACCUUCCUUUUUUAUUUAUUUUUAUUUUAUUUUUUUUGCAAAAAAACCGGGUAUUUUAAUAUCGAACUUGUAUCUUACAUUGUAAGUAUACAACCCAAUAUUAAGCAAAACUUGGUAGAAAAAAACUUUUAAAUUUUUUUUUUUAUUAUUUCUUUUUUUUGAAAUUUUUUUUUUGAAGAUUUUUUUUUGCAAAAAAAACCCAUCAAAGCUUCAUGAUAUUGAAACGAAUACAAUCGUCAUAGGCAGGGAAACGAAAAAAAAACAAACAGGUGCAGUUAUUUGAACUGUUGAGAUUACAUAAUUAUUUGAACCAUAAUUAGCCACUGCAUGCAGAGAUAAAUUCUGCAUGCAGCAGCUACAAAGGACGAACGAAGAAGAAAAAGGAUGGAGCAGGGAGGAGAGAAUUACUUGGCGUGGAGAGAGUGGGCAGCCUGGCUUCUACUGCGCGGUGUGAGUGGAGGCGGCGUGCACUGGUCCCGGCUGGAAGAAGAAUAAAGCAGGUCCUGCAGAGGAGAGGGAAAGCUCACGGCUAGAGCUGUUGGAGUGGCUGAGGAAGAAAGUGCUACCCAAGCUGCUGCUGGUAGGAAUGCAAGCCGCUGUAAAGGAUGGUUGCUGCUGCUGCCACUGCUGGGGUCGCGGUGGUGGAGAGAAAAAAGUUUUGCUGGGAAGAGAGGGAGAGAGAGAGAGUUGUUGCUGGCUUCAGUGAGGUGGCUGGGUGAUGGAUGGGACGUGGUGUUUCAGGGGAAUGAUGGUGGCGAGAUCAGUGGUGGCAACUAGAGGCCACGACGGAGAGAAAAAAAAAAGAGAGGACUGGUUGCAGGAAAAACCGGGCAGGAAAAGCUGAUUUUCGGCCAACUUUGAGUUCAGUUUUCUCCUUCUCCUGAGCAUGAAAUUGGCUCCUAUUUAUAGGGAACGAAAGAGGGUAAUCUGGUAUUUAACGGGGAAAAAUUCUCAGCCCUUGAUUCGACUCGAGGAAUCCAAGCCGUUGGUUCAAAGUGUGCACCUCGAACUGCCAAAUUUGGCAAUCCAAGGCUGCAGACCGCCCGAGGGUGCCACUUUGGGCCAAUAAACGGAGCUGUCCCCAAGUUGUUCCACCCGACCAAACCACUCUACGAGAUAAAGAUGUUUCAGGGGAACAUGUUGGUGCACGCCUUGUCGGAUUUGGGGGCCAAACGAGUGAGAAAACGCGCCUGGAAAUCAGCCACUCGGGCAGCUCUGUGAGGAAGACGAUGAACAGUAACCGGGCGACCCCUCAACACAAAAACGGCGCCGUUUGGGAUAAAAAUUAGGGAUUUUUGCUGAUUUUCAAUCUAGCCCUCCGGCUUUCAAUUGCUUUCAAUUUGACCCCUGGAUUUUGUCAAUUAGACCCCUAUAGUUUGGCGCCUUUUGCAAGUUGGUCCUUGUCUUUGUAUUUUGUCAAUUUAACCCCUAAUUGACCCCAAAACUUCAAUUUUCUUGCAAUUUGACCCUUGAUUUCAAUCAAUCAACUUGGUAAAAAUUAAAUUUGGUCUCUUAAAAUUCCAAUCUUCUCAAUUAAGCCCAAAUUAAGCUCCCAAACUUAAUUUUCCACCAAUUAAGCCCCAAAAUAAAAUUAAUUUGACCCAUUUAAAGUAUAAUUAAGUCCUCGCACUUAAUUAAAUCCUUCAAUUGGACCCAAAUUAAUUCUUAAACAUAAUUAAAAUUCAAUUUGGCCCAUGAUUAAAUCAAAUUGACCUAUUAAAAAUUUAAUUAUGUCCUUGGACUUAAUUUUUAUGCAAAUUCGUCCGAUAAUCAUUUAAUUUAACCUUGAAUUUGCAUUUUCCUUUUCCAAUUUUUGGCACACUGGGGCGCCGGUAGGUCUUGAAUCUCCUCCGAAAAUUGCAAUUUGAUUUCCCUGCAUACUUUCUCCACGUUGCCAGCCUUUAUUAUUUUUUUGUCUUUAUUAUUUUUUAUUUUAUUUUGGGGGGAAUUUAUUUUGGGGGGAAUAACCCAGAAUUGGGUUAUGACACUUGAAAUGAGAAAAGGCCAUCUUUGAUAUCCCUUCACUUUCUAAAGAUUAUAUCCCUUGCAGUCCCAUUUUGAGCCUGGUAAAAUAUUUUCUUUCAAAAAAGGAAACCCUGACUAGGAUCACACCCCACAUUGGGGGGCAAAUGAGAGAUAUUUUGGAGACAUUGAUAUAAUUAAUGGAUAAAGGGGAAGGCUUAGAGCAAAGGUCCAAUGAUUGAGAGAGAGCUAAAAGAAAACACAUAGACUGGGGGCAUAUAAGAAAAUUUUGAGGAAGGCUAUGAAAAAAAAAAAAAAAAAGAAAAAAAAAAAGAGAAGUUGAAAUUGCCUUCACUUAAAUACAAGUCAAAGAUAAAGGAAGGAAAAGCCUAUCAAGUCUAGAAGAGCAAAAGAAAUUUCAAUCAAGGAAAGGUACAACAAAGUCAAUACCAGAAAAAAGACUAAGCUAUAAGCGUUGACUUUUGGUAUCCAUUAUAAAGCCUACGAUGUUAUCAGAUGAUUAAGGUUGGUUAUUUCAAAGAAAGUGGAUUUGCAUUAUGAUUUAUGUUAAGAAAAGUCUGAAGUUUGAGGUUAACAAGGUUAUAUGUUGUUUCCUUUACAAAGACAAUAAUAGAAAACUAGUUGAUGAAUAAUUGAUGUUGAUCCUAGGUCUUUGAAACCCUUAAACACCUUUUGAGCCUUUGAAAUUCCUUUCUUUCAUAGCCAUGAACCAUAGCCUGCAUUACGUGCUUUUAAAAGCCCUUUUUAAUCAAGCAAGCAAUUUGAACCGAUAAAUGGCGCUCUCAAAACUUGAAGAGCUUUUCCAUAAGGGUCGUGACUUCAUGAAUUAAGCUAUUGGUUAUUAUGCAUGCUGAUAAAACAAGUUAUAAGAAGAGAAACAACCUUUCUUUAUCAAGCCUGAGCAUCUAAUCAUUUGAAAUUCACAAAAAUAUCACCUCACCAUAAACCAUCAAAAGAUAUACCCAAAAUCAGAGUUUAAAGUGGACACAAAGAACCAUGAAAAAGUCAUUUUAAAUAUUACAACGGGUCAUUUCUGUUUUCAAAAUACGAGACAAUCAAAGGGCUGCAUUGAAUAAUGUGUUGGGUCUUUGACCAAAGGAGCUCGAAUUUCAAAAAUAACUUUUCAAAAACUGAUAUCUCUCUGAUUUCAUUUCAACAAUUAUACUUGAAUAGACAUGAUCGUUGAAAUGUUGAGAUUUGAUUCCAGAACAAGAAAGAUUUUCAAAAAGAACAUCAAUUGAGUUUGCAAAAUUCUUGACAAAAAUGACAUCAACAUUUCUCGACACUCCUUGAAACGUUGACCACCUGGGGGCAAUACAGUGGACCCUUGAAGAAAAAACAACAUUCCAGAUCAGCUGGGGGCAAAGAAAGAAUCAGAUGAUGAGUCGUCAAAGUUCAUCAAAGUUAUGUUUAGCAUCUGACAAUGACAAAGAAAAACCUUCUUGAGUAUAAACCGAUGAACGAACCUUCAGAUCAUAUUGGGGCAAUGUUGUUCAAAGACAAUCCAUGAUCUAGUGCACUUCAGCAGCAAUUGAUGAGCAACGCUGCACUUGAAGGAUAUUUUCAUAUCUUCAUCUUGAGGUUACCCUUGAAAACAUGGCUAUGACUCCUGAAGAUGUUAUCGGGUGAGUGCAUUUGAAUGAACAUCGAACAUAUGCAUACCACUAAGAUUGACUGUGGGACCAUCUAUUCUGAAGCUCAAAUGCGCACUUCACCACAUGAAUAUGGGUGAUAACAUGAACAUCAUUGAUGAUGCCAAAGCAGGUAUUUUCACGAUCUGAUUUGACAAGCUAAGAGGAAUCCAUAGAGAAAUACAUCGCGCUUACAAUGAUGAGUUGUUUACUGCAAAGCAUGAGAUACAUGUCUGGAUGACUUGGCAGUUCCAUGAAGGCUGGUGACCAUACAUACUUGAAUGGUGUUUCAACCGAAGGCAAGUUCAUGACUGAUUAACAAACGUGAUGGGUGUUGGCAUGAUGCACACAAUCAAUCAGAGGAUAAUUCUCAGAAGAAGCCAGGAGAGAAAAUCUCUCAUGAUGAAUCAAGCAGUACUACACUUGGGGGCAGGGUCAAGCUUCAUGAACGAUGCAAGCAGUAAUUGUCGAAGACAGCCCGGGAUGGGCACUAUUUACAGCUGAGUGGAUGGCUAGCACAUGAAUGAGCUAAUGCAUCGGAAGAACAAAGAAAGCUUUGGGAUGCAAACAAGGGCACCCUAUGACGAUGGAGCAUCAAAGAGGGGGGACCUAUAUUUCAAAUCAGGUAAGGAUGCAUGCAUAUCAUCUAACCUCCAAAAAAAAAAAAAAAAAAAAAAAAAAAAACACCAUUUGCACAUAUUUUUCAAUUGUCACAGGAAAAUCCCAAAGAAAUGAAGAGAUCAACAUUGCAACCGGGAAGCCUCGAGUUUUCAACCCUUGCAGUCAGGAAACACCGAGUUUUCAAACCCCAUGAUCAGGAAUUAUCAGGAAGCACCGAGUUUUCCAGCCCUUUCUUCUGUCAUCCCUUCAGAACUUCGCCAGGUAAGUCCUAUUUUUCACACCGCACUUCAUCAUAUUUUUUCCAUCUGGGUAGGUCACCCAUUACAAUGAGACCACACUUCAUAUUUUUUCCACGUGGGUAGGUCACCCAUUACAAUGAGACCGCACUUCACAUUUUUUCCAUCUGGGUAGGUCACCCAUACAAUGAAACCAUCAUUUUUCCAGGGUUCGUCACCCAUACAAUGAGACCAUCAUUUUUCUGGGUUCGUCACCCAUACAAUGAGACCAUCAUUUUUCUGGGUUCGUCACCCAUACAAUGAGACCAUCAUAUUUAUGGGUUCGUCACCCAUAUAAUGAGACCAUCAUAUUUCUAGGGUUCGUCACCCGUACAAUGAGACCAGCAUUUUUCUAGGGUUCGUCACCCGUACAAUGAGACCAACAUUUUUCUAGGGUUCGUCACCCGUACAAUGAGACCAGCACUAGGGUUCGUCACCCGUACAAUGAGACCAGCAGCACUAGGGUUCGUCACCCGUACAAUGAGACCAGCAUUUUUCGAGGGUUAGUCACCCGUACAAUGAGACCAGAAUGAGGUCGCCAGAUGGGAUCUCAUGUAGCUUUGGUUAAAGGGAAUCACCAGAUGGGAUUUCAGGUUAAUCGAGUUACAUAUAUUUCAUUCCAGAAUGAGGUCGCCAGAUGGGAUCUCAUGUAGCUUUGGUUAAAGGGAAUCGCCAGAUGGGAUUUCAGGUUAAUCGAGUUACACAUAUUUCGUUCCAGUUGAAUGAGGUCGCCAGAUGGGAUCUCAUGUAGCUUUGGUUAAAGGGAAUCGCCAGAUGGGAUUUCAGGUUAACCGAGUUACGCAUAUUUCGUUCCAAUUGAAUGAGGUUGCCAGAUGGGAUCUCAUGUAGCUUUGGUUAAAGGGAAUCGCCAGAUGGGAUUUCAGGUUAACCGAGUUACACAAUAUUUUCGUUCCAGUUGAAUGAGGUCGCCAGAUGGGAUCUCAAGUAAACCCAAUGUGUGGGCAGGUCGCCCGUGAAAAUAGACUAUUGGGAGAGUGUGGGUCGGUCACCCGUGAAAAUAGACUAGAGUGAGUAUGUGUGGGCAGGUCGCCCGUGAAAAUAGAUCAGUGUGAGUGUGUGGGCAGGUCGCCCAAGAUAAUGAAAUCAUCUUCCUUUUGUUUUCUUUACAAAGCUUACUAUGCAAAAUUUUGAGGAUUUUCGCUUCGUAAGCAUUGUAAAGAGGGGGCAUCUGUUGCUACCCAAUUUUUGACCCAUGUUUUUGAUAUAUUUUCAAAAAAUCCAAAAAUUGAGAAAAACAAAGAAAAUCCAAAAAAUAUGUUUUUUUAAUAUAUUUUCGUCAUUUUAGCAUUUUCAACGUCGUCUAAAAAAGAAUUUAAUUUGUUAAAAUAUUUUCAAACGCGUUCGACUUUUCGCGUCAUUUUUAAAAUCAUUGAUUUUCCGCAUUUAAGUCGACGUUGAUAUUGCUCGUUUUCAAAAAAUACAAAAAAAUAAGAAAAAUCAAAAUUUACAAAAAGAAAGAAGUUGAGGGACCAAGUUGAAAGACCUAGCAACAUUUUUGCCUAUAAAUACCAUGCUAAACUGAUUUUUUGGGGGGGACAAUUUUGACAUUCAGAAAAAAUACCAAAACCCUAAAACCCAACUCUUUCUAGCCACUAAAAAAGGGGGGCCGGCGGCGCCUCCCUCCUGGUUUUAAAUUUUUUUUCCUAGUGUUCUUCUCUUGAAAACCAGCCGGCCCCCACGUUGAAUUCUUUUUUUUCUCCUUCUCAGCCGACCUCAUCUUCUCCUGUAGCCUCUCCAUCCUCCCCGGCCAUUUUUUUUUCUUUCCUCUUCCUCACAAAGAACCGGCCAAACAGCCCCUCCACCAUUUGAUUUUUCAGUUUUCUCUUCUUCCACCCGAACCAGCCUCCCUUCCCCAUCGUUCCUCCAUAUCACUUUCUUCUUCCCUCACCACUGAGCCCAUCCGUGACUGGCGAUCCACACCUUCUUCUUCCUCAUCGAUCUGUCCCCUCCAGCCCACAGACCAGCGGCUAGACCGGCGUCCAUCGAGCCCCAAGCAUCCAGCAGAAGCGUCUCCUUCGUCAUCAGUAACGGCUGCUCCUCCUUCGGUCUCCAUCUUUCUCGAUCUCUCACAGCCUACCCGGCUGAUCCAUCAACGCCGAAGCCUCUCCCUCAGCAACCUCUUCUUCGACGGUUCCUUCAACAACCGGUUCUCCUCCAACUCAAACCCGUGUAGCAGAUCCGGACCGAGAUCCAGCCACCACCAGCGCCGACGGUGCCCAACAACCCGAUGUGCUGCAGGGAUGAAAUCUCGGGCAACGAACCGUGAUCAACCCGAAAGAAGACGAUCUGAAGAUGAAGAGGAAGGAGCAGAUCGGAGAAGAAAUAAAGAACAAAAAAAUCAGAUCCGAAAAAAUAAAA
This 12037-nucleotide long non-coding RNA is filed under the name Populus tremula. Its description in RNAcentral is "long non-coding RNA (PTRE_LNC000146)". Lineage: Eukaryota; Viridiplantae; Streptophyta; Magnoliopsida; Malpighiales; Salicaceae. The record is from RNAcentral.